GCACAGAGUCCUGACCUCAACCCGAUAGAACACCUUUGGGAUGAAUUAGAGCGGAGACUGAGAACCAGGCCUUCUCGUCCAACAUCAGUGUGUGACCUUGCAAAUGCGCUUCUGGAAGAAUGGUCAAAAAUUCCCAUAAACACACUCCUAAACCUUGUGGACAGCCUUCCCAGAAGAGUUGAAGCUGUUAUAGCUGCAAAGGGUGGACCGACGUCAUAUUGAACCCUAUGAAUUAGGAAUGGGAUGUCACUUAAGUUCAUAUGCGAGUCAAGGCAGGUGAGCGAAUACUUUUGGCAAUAUAGUGUAUGUCCUCACUGUGCACUUAAGUGCGUGUGUGUGUGGGUGUUUCUAAAAAAUUGUGUCCCAGAAGGUAGGGUAUUGUGUCAUAUGUCCUCAUUUUGCACUUACGUAUGUGUGUGUGUGUUUCUAAAUAAUUGUGUCCCAGAAGGUAGGGUAUUGAGUCAUAUGUCAUCAUUUUGCACUUAAUUAUACAUGUGUGUAAAAAAAAUUGUGUCCUCAAAAGUAGGGUAUUGAGUCAUAUGUCCUCAUUGUGUGUGUGUGUCCUUCUGUCUGUCUUGAAAGUUGUGUUACCAAAGAUAUGUGUGUGUUUCUAAAAAAAAAUUGUCCCAGAAGGUAGGAUAUUGAGUCAUAUGUCUUCAUAGUGCACUUAAUUAUACAUGUGUGUAAAAAAUUUGUGUCCUCAAAAGUAGGGUAUUGAGUCAUAUGUCCUCAUUGUGUGUGUGUGUGUGUGUGUAGUGCUCAUGAUGGCUGAAGAUGGCUUUCUGUUCACUUCAUACAGUAUGACAUCAUAACUGAUGUAUAUAUAUUAUAAAUGCAAAUAGAUACGGUGUUGAGUUAAUUAUGUAAAUAUCACCCAUGAAGGACUUCUUACCUCUUCCUAUGUCUCAUGAUUCAGUGAAGGAAGAUUAUUCUUACAUCCUGUAAAUACAGCACUAAAUCUUGUCAAUGCCGCAUUUACAGGGACUUCUAUGGCGGACGUAUUCUACGAAGAAAUAAUCAAAUAUCUUUUAGAAGAUGUUUAUGUAACAUUGAUGGAAGGAGUCUCCAGUGUUUAUAACAAUCUGAUAUUAAAAGACAGAGGAGAGAUUUCAGCACAGAGUUUGUACUUUUAAGAUUCUUGCCUUGCUUCUACAAUUCAUAGGCUAGAUGUUUCCUACAUCAGUUAAAAAGCGUUCAGUAAUAAAUUAAAAGCUGGGAUCACUGGCAGAUCGCUGUACUGUAAGUGAAAUAACACACUUGCUGUGAUAGGAAAAUACUCCACGUUGCAUCACUAUCACAUCAUCCUGCAGUGGAUUCUUUUCAUACAUCAGCACUUUCCGUAACGUUUUAUUGCUCAGAUAAUAAUGUGUAUCAUUUACUAUAAUUUGCCUACAACUUUGACUCACCAGCUGCUCCUACUACAAAUUUGACUCAGAUUUGUUUUGCACAAAGCGUGCCUUUUUUUUAGGGAACACUUUACUGCUGCCCCCCUCUUGGGGCUGGGGCUAGUGGUGGUGGUGGGGCGACAUCCUUUUCAGUGUGAGAGAAAAGGAUCUGCAUCCUGCUGCAAACACCUUCCAGAGGCCCCCGGGGUCGUCCUGCAGCUGCAGUACCUUCGGAUCUGUCCGUGGCGAAUCACAAGCGCACUCACCUUCUGUCAGUCACGGGGACGAGGCUCAUGCAUACCGUUGGCUUGUACAGACCCUCAUUUAGAGAGAGAAGAAUGUGGGUCUAUUCCCUCUACGCUUGCGACCUCUGACCUUCUCCAGGAAGCACUCACCUGGACAGCCCUGACCACCUGCCUUGUGUUUUCUUUGUGUCUACACCAGUGUCACACUCUCUCUCUCGCUCUCUCUCUCUCUCUCUCUCUCUCUCAAACAAAGUCAAAGGCCACAUUCAAAUGCGCACAAGGUGUAUUUAAAUUCAUUACAGCCGGUUCUAUUUGCAGGCUCAGAGACAUGAAAAUGUACAGUAAAUAUCUCUUGAGUAAAUGUUUGUAUCUUCAAAGUAAAUGAUGAUAUCAAACCCAUUUCUUUCUCUCUUGUUCAUAGCAUCUAAAAUUUUAUCUUCAACUGAUAAAAUUCUGCAUAAGGAAAACCACAUGUCUCAAACAAGAGUCCUGACUUAUUUUUAUAUCAGAUAAACAUAUUGUUUUUUUUAUACUGAUUGACAAUGUCCCAUAAUUCCAGUUGUAUGCCUAGGUACUAGGUUAAAAGGGUUAAAACCAAGGUCAGCUGAUCCGAUACUUUCUCCUGGACCUUCGUUCUUCUCCAAAGCGCAAACCCUGUCCGUCUUGUACCUGCGCAACCUGCUUAAGCCUGAUUGACUCCGGGACUCUAGUGUCACUGUGCCUGAGGCUUGUCACUCGAGCCUCGGUUCUCACCCCUCAAAACUGCUCAUUGACAUGUUUCACUUCCCCCGCAUACCAGACAGAACACAGGGCAUAUGGACGCAUUAAGGAGUACUCAAUCCAGGCCAUAAAGUAUCCAGACCACACAGAAUGCAGUCUGCAGAUCAGCAAACCUUCAAGCCAUCACUGGUUUUCAUUUUACUGCUAGGGGGAGGAGAGGGAGAUCCCUAGCAGUGAGAGGCCCCAGUUCAUUUAGGAAAGGGCAAUAAACACUAACGUCCGAGUGCAUUAAUUGACCGUUCAUGUGGUAGAGUCAUGAAUCAUUGUUUUGUCGCUGAAGAACAUUAGCACCUUGUUCUGAACUUUAGGGCCAACAGCCAUCCAACACUCAGCACCUUCAGGAUUCAGGAUGCUGGUACUUAUUAGCUCCAUAUCUCAUACUCCGUGAGAUGGUUACAGCUUUUGUAGUUUGGUAUUAAACAAGAAGGAAGUUCUGUUCUAUGGACAAUGGAUAAUGGACACCACGAAGCAACAUGUUCAUGGCUGAAAUUUCUCACUUGCUGGUGAAAAUCUGUGUGUUUCGUUUGCUUAACUCGAAUGUCAGGAGUGUUUGCUUAGCCUCUGGGCAGCUGAGUCUAUACGGAACACAAUGAAUCCAGCCAUCAAGGUUCCUCCUCCAUAAUAACUCUCAUCUGUCUCACUGGAACAGCCUCUAGAGACGAAGACAGACGCUACGCGGUAUAAACUUUAGCACUGUAUUUGGAGGAUGAUGGUUUCUAGAAGAGUUUGAAUGUAAUUUGAUGUCAUUCAGUUCGGUAAAUGGAGGACAGGAGCUGCCACCGGAUUGAAUGGGCUUUCUCUAGACCCCGGUGAUAAUUCGCAGGGCUGUAUUGUGCUGAGGUCUUUGGCUCCAGUGCUGAGGAUCACUCAUUAAUGCAGGAGGUGCUGUGCUCCUAUUGUUGUGCUAAUGAGGCACAGAUGUGGACACCCCAAAC
Long non-coding RNA from Hemibagrus wyckioides, 3345 nucleotides. RefSeq lists it as uncharacterized. The transcript is spliced from 3 exons. The record is from RefSeq and is a predicted model, not a curated record. NCBI's taxonomy places the organism in Eukaryota, Metazoa, Chordata, Actinopteri, Siluriformes, Bagridae.